GUGGGGAAUAUUGGGCAAUGGGGGAAACCCUGACCCAGCGACGCCGCGUGAGAGAAGACGGCCUUCGGGUUGUAAACCUCUUUUGUACGGGAAGAAGGAAGUGACGGUACUGUACGAAUAAGUCCCGGCUAACUACGUGCCAGCAGCCGCGGUAAUACGUAGGGGACGAGCGUUGUCCGGAAUUACUGGGCGUAAAGGGCGCGCAGGCUGUGCUGCAAGUCAGCUGUGAAAUGUCUGGGCUUAACCCGGGCAUGCGGUUGAGACUGCAGUGCUGGAGUGCUGUAGAGGCAAGUGGAAUUCCCAGUGUAGCGGUGAAAUGCGUAGAUAUUGGGAAGAACACCGGUGGCGAAGGCGACUUGCUGGGCAGCAACUGACGCUGAGGCGCGAAAGCCAGGGGAGCAAACGGGAUUAGAAACCCUUGUAGUCC
RNAcentral lists this ribosomal RNA (427 nucleotides) under uncultured bacterium. RNAcentral describes it as "partial 16S ribosomal RNA". It matches the Rfam family "Bacterial small subunit ribosomal RNA", at positions 354 to 796 of the family's 1533-position model. The record is from RNAcentral.